This 669-nucleotide long non-coding RNA is filed under the name Chrysemys picta bellii (western painted turtle). RNAcentral describes it as "lncRNA (ENSCPBG00000024823.1)". The record is from RNAcentral. Lineage: Eukaryota; Metazoa; Chordata; Testudines; Emydidae.
AUGCUGCUGCUGCUUUCUCGCCUGCAGCCUCUGGGGACGAGCAAGGAGCAGAGUAAGGCGUUUCCCAUCCAAUGCACCAGCCCAGAGGAGGGGGAGAGCACGCAGGGGAGGGAGCUGCCGGGUGACAGGCGGUCACAGGUGCUGCUGUUGCCUCUGAGUCACGGGAGAGGCGUCUCUGCGCCCCAACCAGCUGCUGCUCCCCCUCCCCCUCCUCAAGGCUGCUGCGGCUGCCAGCCCAGACAGAGCCAACUCCUCACAGGCGGCCUUGCUUGCAGGAGGAGCAGCCACCGAGCCGCGCAGCCGGGGGAAGGAGCAGACGCCCUGGGAAGCCUGGGCUGCUGCCUGCUACAGAUACAGAAAUCUAGAUGGAAUUUCAAAGAUAAGAGAUGGUUUUCUCAGGUUUUGGAAGUAAUAGAGUACUUGGUCACUAACUCCUCACCUGAAGGACGGUUGUAUGCUUCAACUUGGAAAGCUCUACGUUGAGGUUCUUCAGCUCUCUUAAUUCCCAGAUUCUCUUUCCCAGAAGAAAUGGACCCUGGUUGUGAGAGGCAUCCAAAUCAAUAAUGUGACAACGAUAACAUUGAAAGUCUGCUGGAGAAGAAUCGCUAAUUCUUAUCAGAAGUGGUUUUUUUGUUUUGUUUUUUAUCCCUUAUAAAACAGACCAGACCA